This 637-nucleotide ribosomal RNA is filed under the name Bradyrhizobium sp. RNAcentral describes it as "bacterial SSU rRNA". It matches the Rfam family "Bacterial small subunit ribosomal RNA", at positions 74 to 752 of the family's 1533-position model. Lineage: Bacteria; Pseudomonadati; Pseudomonadota; Alphaproteobacteria; Hyphomicrobiales; Nitrobacteraceae. The record is from RNAcentral.
GCGUAGCAAUACGUCAGCGGCAGACGGGUGAGUAACGCGUGGGAACGUACCUUUUGGUUCGGAACAACACAGGGAAACUUGUGCUAAUACCGGAUAAGCCCUUACGGGGAAAGAUUUAUCGCCGAAAGAUCGGCCCGCGUCUGAUUAGCUAGUUGGUGAGGUAAUGGCUCACCAAGGCGACGAUCAGUAGCUGGUCUGAGAGGAUGAUCAGCCACAUUGGGACUGAGACACGGCCCAAACUCCUACGGGAGGCAGCAGUGGGGAAUAUUGGACAAUGGGCGCAAGCCUGAUCCAGCCAUGCCGCGUGAGUGAUGAAGGCCCUAGGGUUGUAAAGCUCUUUUGUGCGGGAAGAUAAUGACGGUACCGCAAGAAUAAGCCCCGGCUAACUUCGUGCCAGCAGCCGCGGUAAUACGAAGGGGGCUAGCGUUGCUCGGAAUCACUGGGCGUAAAGGGUGCGUAGGCGGGUCUUUAAGUCAGGGGUGAAAUCCUGGAGCUCAACUCCAGAACUGCCUUUGAUACUGAGGAUCUUGAGUUCGGGAGAGGUGAGUGGAACUGCGAGUGUAGAGGUGAAAUUCGUAGAUAUUCGCAAGAACACCAGUGGCGAAGGCGGCUCACUGGCCCGAUACUGACGCUGAGC